This 450-nucleotide ribosomal RNA is filed under the name Triticum aestivum (bread wheat). Its description in RNAcentral is "partial small subunit ribosomal RNA". The record is from RNAcentral. Lineage: Eukaryota; Viridiplantae; Streptophyta; Magnoliopsida; Poales; Poaceae.
AUGUUUGACAAGACUCAUGUGAUGGUUGCAACUUCUGCGAUCCUAGGUGAGCAUAUAGAAGACCCCACUGAUCUCUUUGAGGUUGAGGUUGGCAACAAUUAUCUGGAACUGGAAGACAACAGUGAUUUGGAAAGCAACAAGGCACCUGGCCAGAAAACAAAGGAGGUUGAAAAGCAGAGGGUUGCUGCCAUUGCUGCUAGUCCAAAGAAGAAACGAAAGCAACAAAAGAACCCUACCGUUCAGGAGUGCAGGCAUGUUGCAAACAUAAUGGCUGGUAGCACUUCGGUGACAUCUUCUACUGAUGUUCCAAGAGGCCAUGGGAUUAAAGACGUCAUCAAGUUGGCUGUGCAAUCUGGGGCGAAGGAAUGCAGCGAUCUGUUCUUCACGGCCACCAAGCUUUUCAUGAAUGUGGACUAUAGAGAGAUGUUUAGUGCUUUGGAGACCAAUUAA